Molecule: long non-coding RNA, 1105 nt
Organism: Alligator mississippiensis (American alligator)
Lineage: Eukaryota; Metazoa; Chordata; Crocodylia; Alligatoridae
Exons: 3
Source: RefSeq, a predicted model, not a curated record
GAUACAAUCACGGGAGCUGAAACAAGACUGGUUCAGAUUAGAAACACAGCACAAAGGUUGAACACUGAGGGUAAUUACCUGUUGGAAUGACUGACCUAGGAGUGAGCCACAUUCUUCACCUUCUGGAAGUCUUUAAAAUCAGGCCUCCACAUCUCCAUGAGAGAUAUGCUGUUACUUAGAUAGAAAGCAUGGGGUGGUUGCAGAAUUAGGUAGCUGAGGUGCUUUCGCUGGUGUUUUGCAUUGUCUCUUUAUAAUGCUUUCUAGUCUUCAGAUCUCUGAGCGAGGAUCUCUGGCUCAGAUCGAUGACCUGUCCCUCAGACCAAUUACUUCUGCCUCUCAGGUAGCCGAGGAAAGCAAAGGAUGGAGCAGGGGCUCACUGAUGCAGUUGCACCCUUUACAAAGGCUGGCUGCCCCCUGCAUGGCUACAGGAGAGAGGAAGAAAAGACCUGCAACUUUUGAAGACAGAUCCAGGACUGGACCCUUCAGUCACUGAGCCAUGGCAGAGAGCACCCUCCAAGCAAGCCCAGAUACUUGCAUUGUUAUAAAAAGGCCUUGUUGUGCUCUUCUCUCUCCGAAGAAAUGCCGAGCUCGUCUGAUGAAUGAGGAAAGAACUGGCUGAGCUGCAGUUAGGCACAGGACUCACAAUGCAGUACUCAUCUUUCAUAUUCUACAGUAUUCAAUUACUGUGCUUUGCACUGAGGCAGUCAGGUCAUAGAGUCAGAGUCACAGACAACGAGGGUUGAAGGGACCUCGGGAGGUCACAUCGAGUCCAACCCCCUGCUCCAAGCAGGACCAGCCCCAACUACAUCAUCCCAGCCAAGGCUUUGUCUACCUGGGUCUUCAAAACCUCCAAGGAUAGAGAGUCCAACACCUCUCUGAGGGGCCUGUUCCAGUGCUUCACCACCUUCCUAAUGAGGAUGUUUUUCCUAAUAUCCAACCGAAAUUUCCCUUGCUGCAAUUUAAGCCCAUUGCUCCUUGUCCUGCCAUCUGCCCCCACUGAGAACAGCCUAGCUCCAUCCUCUUUGCAACCCCUGCAGGGAGGUGAAGGCUGCUAUUCAAUCCCCCUCGGUCUUCUCUUGUGUAGAGUAAAGAAUUAAAGCAUUCA